RNAcentral lists this microRNA precursor (68 nucleotides) under Bombyx mori (domestic silkworm). RNAcentral describes it as "mir-2774 microRNA precursor family". It matches the Rfam family "mir-2774 microRNA precursor family". Lineage: Eukaryota; Metazoa; Arthropoda; Insecta; Lepidoptera; Bombycidae. The record is from Rfam by way of RNAcentral.
ACAACAUUUGCACAGUCGGUCUACCGAGCAAUAUCACCCGCUCGGUGGAAGAUCUUUCCUUUCGUCGG